CAAGAAGAAAAGUAAAAGGAAAAAGAGAAAACAGGGGGAAAGUGAUGUGAAAGAGACAGGUGAGAGAGAGAGACAGUAAAAAAGGAGAGGACUGUUCAUCGUCUUCUUCGCGACCCACCGCUCCUGCAACUCUGCACCGAAGCACCACUGACGCCACCGGAGCCCCAAAUCAGCCGUACCGCCAAGCCGGAGUGCCCCCCUCCCCCCCGAUUUGCAGCGAUUUGCAGUGACCCACGCGGCCGGACCCGAGCCAGAUCUCCCCACCGCCUGCACCGCGUCGGCUCCGAGCUUCCCCCGACGACCUCGCUGCGACUCGUUUCCCCUACUUGCCAGACGCCGCACCGUCGUUCCGUUCACGAUUGCCUGCUGCCGACUAUUGGCGCCGCCUCGAGCUCAGCCACCACCGGAUCUAGAUCCGUGCCACCCUGGUGCCGUUCGCCUCUGCCGUCUUUCCCCACCGAAGCUCUGCCGAGACCAGACCCGAGGCAGAUCUGCCCAACACCGCCUGCUGUUACUCGGAGCCGAGGCCCUGCAACCCGUCUCCGUGUGCUCGUGCCCCUGUGAAGCGGCGACCCAUCUCUGCCCUUGGUGCGCUCGCCAGCCAUCGCCGCGUCCCUGCACCGACGUUGUCACUGCCCCGACGACCCGUGCCACCACGACGCCGAGCCUCGCCGUGCCUCCUUCGCGAGCAACCCACGACGCCAGCCCAGUCGUUCGCGACUUCCCCUGCCGACGCCGCUCCUGCCCUGCUCUGCCACUCGCCCAUGAUUGCCCAGCAGCUGCUCCGCCUCCGAUCAGUGACCCAUAUCGAAGCCAGGCGGACCCGCAUCACCUCUGCUCCGCCUUUGAAACUGCUGCCGUUGCCGAUCCAAUUGUCAGCCUUGCUCCAAGUUAUCUUCCCGUGCUCUGCCGUUUGCUGCCGCCGGAAUUUACCUCGCCGGAGUUCCCCUUGCCGGACCGACGACUUGCUGCCCCUGAAGAUCCACGAGCAAGGUUUUAGAAAAAAAACAAAAGAAAGAAAAAGGAAAAGAAAUUAGGUAGUUUUAUUUUUCUUUUUCUAUUUAUUUUAUUUAUUUCUUUUAAGUUUUGGGGUGAUCUUUAUUUUAUGGAUUUUGUAGGCAUUAUCCAC
RNAcentral lists this long non-coding RNA (1129 nucleotides) under Eucalyptus grandis. RNAcentral's name for it is "long non-coding RNA (EGRA_LNC007815)". Lineage: Eukaryota; Viridiplantae; Streptophyta; Magnoliopsida; Myrtales; Myrtaceae. The record is from RNAcentral.